CAGCCGCCGCGGUAAUACGUAGGGUGCAAGCGUUAAUCGGAAUUACUGGGCGUAAAGCGUGCGCAGGCGGUUUGUUAAGACAGAUGUGGAAUCCCCGGGCUCAACCUGGGAACUGCAUUUGUGACUGGCAGGCUAGAGUAUGGCAGAGGGGGGUGGAAUUCCGCGUGUAGCAGUGAAAUGCGUAGAUAUGCGGAGGAACACCGAUGGCGAAGGCAGCCCCCUGGGCCAAUACUGACGCUCAUGCACGAAAGCGUGGGGAGCAAACAGGAUUAGAGACCCCCGUAGUCCCUGUCUCUUAUAA
This 301-nucleotide ribosomal RNA is filed under the name uncultured bacterium. RNAcentral's name for it is "partial 16S ribosomal RNA". It matches the Rfam family "Bacterial small subunit ribosomal RNA", at positions 509 to 809 of the family's 1533-position model. The record is from RNAcentral.